RNAcentral lists this microRNA (25 nucleotides) under Mus musculus (house mouse). RNAcentral describes it as "mmu-miR-5625-3p". The record is from miRBase by way of RNAcentral. Lineage: Eukaryota; Metazoa; Chordata; Mammalia; Rodentia; Muridae.
CUGAUUCAAGUGGUCUCUCGUGUCC